Molecule: long non-coding RNA, 1684 nt
Filed under: Marmota monax (woodchuck)
Lineage: Eukaryota; Metazoa; Chordata; Mammalia; Rodentia; Sciuridae
Source: RNAcentral
AAAAAAUAUGUCCAUCUCUUACCACUGCUUGUGAUCUCCCAGUCACAAUUGAAGGGGGAUUCCUUCAAUUAAUGUCAAUAAACUCAUCAGGCACCUACUGUAUGAAUGUAAGGUCAUAAUAAGAGCAUGAAGUAAGGCAUGCCAAUGACAUUCUUAAUCCCUGUGGAGAAGAGGAAGUGGUCAUUGACUGUGCACUUGUGCGUGCCCAGACAUUCACACGUAGGACUUUGUUUCCCAUGGAGUCUUCACCAUAGACUGGGAGGCUGAUGUUACCCCUGUUUUAUAGACAAGAAGACUUAGAAAAGCAAACGGUGUGCUCAGGGUUCUCACAAUACUCAGCAGCUGAGUUGCUCACAGAUCUCCUGAUUCCAAAUCUAGGGCUCCAGCCACCCCAGAAACAAAGGUAAGCUCUAGAAAGUAGCACAGGAGAAGGGUCAGGACGCAGAUUCCUUGGUCCAUUCACUUUCCAUUGUGUCUUUUCUGUCUCUCCGUCUCUGUGUAUCUCUGUCUUUUCCUGUCCUCUCCCCUCUCAUUUAUUUUUAUUUUUUGGUUCCAGCCCCACUAACUCAAGGACCCUCACAUCAGUUCUAGAGCAGAACCAAUACCUCCAGAUAGAUGGUCCAUCCAGCAAACUAGCCAUCCUUCCAUCCAUCCAUUCACCCACCUUCCUUCCGUUCAUCCUGCCUACCCGUCUGUCCAGGCAACCUUCCAUUUUUAAGCCCCCUCUUGAUCCAUAUGUUUUUCUAUCUGUACAUCCACCCUUUCUUUAAUCCCUCUAUUCUUCCAUCUACCCAUCCAGCUAUCCAUCCUUCCACUUUUUAUCCAUCUUACCAUCCACAUGUCUUUCCAUCUAUUUACCCAUCCCCCAUCUUCCAUCUAUCCAUCUGUCCAUGUUAUCUUGUAUUUAGCCUUUUAUCCACCCAUUUAUCUUUCCAUCCAUUUUCCAUCUGUCCACUCAUUCGUCUACCUAUCCAUCCCUCCAUCUGUUCAACUGUCCACCUUUCCAUCCGUCCAUCUAUUCUUCCAUCAGUCUAUCUGUCCAUUUUUUCACAUAGCCAUUCUUUCAUCUAGCCAUCUUUCCAUCUGUCCCUAACACCUGUCCUCCCAUCCAUGCUGUUGUCCAUCCAUCUGUCCUUUUCCACACCAUCUUUACCUUCAUCUGUCCACGUAUCCAUUCUUCCUGCCUCCGUCUUCCCACCUGUCAUCUCCUCAUCAUGGGUAUUCUCAUCAUGCACACACCAUCCGUCCCUGGGUCUCUCCAUCUGUUCACCACUUUUCCACUUAACAGAUAUCAGGGAGAUUCUCUUGGAGGGGAUGCUGGGGAUGCAGGAGCACACAGGACGUGUUCCUCUAUUCAUGGAGCUCACGACCUAAUAAUGGAGAGAAAUGAGUGAUGAACAAGUCAAUGAAUGAACGAGCAUAAUUCCAGAUGGUUUUAAGUGUGCGGAAACCAGAACACGGGAUGAUGUAACAGAGCCACAGGGAGAGGAGAUCACUGCUUUAGAUGGGUGAUCAGGGAAGGCCUCUCUGAGAAGGUGUUCAAAGUGGUCAGCCAUGUGAUAAACUGGGGCUGACCAUCCCUGGCCCCAAAAGAACAGCCCAUGGCAGAGGCCGUAUGGCAGGAAGGAACUGGUUUAGCCUGACAGCACACAGAGGGAAGGCCACCUUUGGUGUUUCUGUGUGU